UUCUGGUUGAUCCUGCCAGAGGCGACCGCUUUUGGAGUUCGAUUAAGCCAUGCGAGUCGAGAGCCUUAGGGGCUCGGCAUACUGCUCAGUAACACGUGGAUAACCUGCCCUAUUGUCUGGAAUAACCUCGGGAAACUGAGAACAAGGCCGGAUAACCCACAAUGCCUGGAACGGUUUGUGGGUGAAGAUAGGAUGGGUCUGCGGCGUAUCAGGUCGUAGGGGGUGUAAUGGACCUCCUAGCCAUCGACGCGUACGGGUGUUGGGAGACAUAGCCCGGAGAUGGAUUCUGAGACACGAAUCCAGACCCUACGGGGUGCAGCAGGCGCGAAAACUUCACACUGCAGGAAACUGUGAUGAGGGAACUCCAAGUGCAUUCACUAUGUGGAUGCUUUUUUUGACUAUUAAUCGGUCAACGAAUAAGGGCUGGGAAAGACCGGUGCCAGCCGCCGCGGUAAUACCGGCAGCUCAAGUGGUCGUCGCUUUUAUUGGGCCUAAAACGUCCGUAGCCUGUUUGGUAAAUCUGUGGGUAAAUCAACCAGCUUAACUGGUUGAAUUCUGCAGAGACUGCCAGACUAGGGACCGGGAGAGGUGUGGGGUACUCUAGGGGUAGGGGUAAAAUCCUGUCAUCCUUAGAGGACCACCAGUUGCGAAGGCGCCACACUGGAACGGAUCCGACGGUCAGGGACGAAGCCUAGGGGCACGAACCGGAUUAGAUACCCGGGUAGUCCUAGGUGUAAACGCUGUGAACUUGGUGUCGGGGAUCCGCAAUGGGUCCUCGGUGCCGGAGUGAAGAUGUUAAGUUCACUGCCUGGGGAGUACGGUCGCAAGGCUGAAACUUAAAGGAAUUGGCGGGGGAGCACUGCAACGGGAGGAGCGUGCGGUUUAAUUGGACUCAACGCCGGGA
Molecule: ribosomal RNA, 904 nt
Filed under: uncultured Candidatus Poseidoniales archaeon
Lineage: Archaea; Methanobacteriati; Thermoplasmatota; Candidatus Poseidoniia; Candidatus Poseidoniales
Description: bacterial SSU rRNA
Rfam family: Archaeal small subunit ribosomal RNA
Source: RNAcentral